AUGAACGCUGGCGGCGUGCCUAACACAUGCAAGUCGAACGAGUCUCUAAGACGGAAGCCUCGGUGGAAGUCGAAGAUGCACUAGUGGCAGACGGGUGAGUAAUAUAUAGGUAAUCUACCUUUAAGCUCGGGAUAACUAUUCGAAAGGAUAGCUAAUACCGGAUACACUUUUAAAAUCAUAAGAUUUUUAAAGGAAAGUUUUUCGCUUUUAGAUGAGCCUGCGUGGGAUUAGCUAGUUGGUGAGGUAACGGCUUACCAAGGCAACGAUCUGUAGCCGGCCUGAGAGGGUGAUCGGCCACACUGGAACUGAGACACGGUCCAGACUCCUACGGGAGGCAGCAGUGGGGAAUUUUGCGCAAUGGGGGAAACCCUGACGCAGCAACGCCGCGUGGGUGAUGACGCACCUUGGUGUGUAAAGCCCUGUUGACGGGGAUAAUUAUGAUAGUACCUCUGAAGGAAGUCACGGCUAAUUACGUGCCAGCAGCCGCGGUAAUACGUAAGUGGCAAGCGUUAUCCGGAUUUAUUGGGCAUAAAGAGUACGAAGGUGGUUUCUUAAGUCAGAUGUUAAAGGCUACUGCUUAACAGUAGUUCGCAUUUGAAACUGAGAAACUAGAGGUCAGUAGAGGAAAGCGGAACUCAUAGUGUAGCGGUGAAAUGCGUAGAUAUCGUGAGGAACACCAGUUGCGAAGGCGGCUUUCUGGCCUGAUCCUGACACUGAGGUGCGAAAGCGUGGGGAGCGAACGGGAUUAGAUCCCCCGGUAGUCCACGCCGUAAACGUUGUUCACUAAGUGUUGGAGGUAUCGAUCCCUUCAGUGCUACAGAUAAUUCGUUAAGUGAACCGCCUGGGAAGUACGACCGCAAGGUUAAAACUCAAAGGAAUUGACGGGGGCCCGCACAAGCGGUGGAGCAUGUGGGUUAAUUCGAUGCAACGCGAAGAACCUUACCAUCCCUUGACAUCCUAGAAAUCUUUUAGAGAUAAGAGAGUGCCUUCGGGAAUCUAGUGACAGGUGGUGCACGGCUGUCGUCAGCUCGUGUCGUGAGAUGUUGGGUUAAGUCCCGCAACGAGCGCAACCCCUAUUUUGUGUUGCCAGCAUUUCGGAUGGGAACUCACAGGAGACUGCCUGUUAUAAGCAGGAGGAAGGUGGGGACGACGUCAAGUCAUCAUGCCCCUUACGUCCUGGGCUACACACAUGCUACAAUGGGCGGUACAAUGAGCAGCUAAGCCGCGAGGCCAAGCCAAUCUCAAAAAGCCGUCCUCAGUUCGGAUUGUAGUCUGCAACUCGACUACAUGAAGCCGGAAUUGCUAGUAAACGUAGAUCAGAACGCUACGUUGAAUACGUUCCCGGGCCUUGUACACACCGCCCGCCAAGGG
Molecule: ribosomal RNA, 1371 nt
Filed under: uncultured prokaryote
Description: partial 16S ribosomal RNA
Rfam family: Bacterial small subunit ribosomal RNA
Source: RNAcentral